This 301-nucleotide ribosomal RNA is filed under the name uncultured bacterium. RNAcentral's name for it is "partial 16S ribosomal RNA". It matches the Rfam family "Bacterial small subunit ribosomal RNA", at positions 509 to 808 of the family's 1533-position model. The record is from RNAcentral.
CAGUAGCCGCGGUAAUACGGGGGGGGCAAGUGUUAUUCGGAAUGACUGGGCGUAAAGGGCACGUAGGCGGUGAAAAGGGUGGAAAGUGAAAGUCGCCAAAACACUGGCGGGGUGCUUUCUUGACCAUUUCACUUGAGUGAGAUAGGGGAGAGUGGAAUUUCGUGUGGAGGGAUCAAAUCCUAAGAUAUACGAAGGAACGCCAACCGCGAAGGCAGCUCUCUGGGUCCCCACUGACGCUGGGGUGCGAAAGCAUGGGGAGCAAACAGGAUCAGAUACCCGCGUAGUCCCUGUCUCUUAUACA